GUCCUACGGGACGCAGCAGUAGGGAAUUUUCGUCAAUGGGCGCAAGCCUGAACGAGCAAUGCCGCGUGAACGAGGAAGGUCUUCGGAUCGUAAAGUUCUGUUGAAGGGGAAAAAGAGCGGAGAGAGGAAAUGCUUUCUGAUUGAUAUUACCCUUCGAGGAAGUCACGGCUAACUACGUGCCAGCAGCCGCGGUAAUACGUAGGUGGCGAGCGUUAUCCGGAAUGAUUGGGCGUAAAGGGUGCGUAGGCGGCCUGCUACGUCUGGAGUGAAAGGUACCGGCUCAACCGGUACAGGCUCUGGAAACU
This 305-nucleotide ribosomal RNA is filed under the name uncultured bacterium. Its description in RNAcentral is "bacterial SSU rRNA". It matches the Rfam family "Bacterial small subunit ribosomal RNA", at positions 335 to 634 of the family's 1533-position model. The record is from RNAcentral.